RNAcentral lists this unclassified non-coding RNA (204 nucleotides) under rhizosphere metagenome. Its description in RNAcentral is "partial ribosomal RNA internal transcribed spacer region". The record is from RNAcentral.
GUAGGUGAACCUGCGGAAGGAUCAUUACCGAGUCGGGCCCUUCGGGGCCCUUACUCUCCACCCUUUGUGAAUCCACCUGUGUUGCCUCGGCGGGUCGCUCGCUUCGGCGGGGCCCGCCAGAGGACCUAACAAACUCUGUUAUAACCGGCUGUCUGAGUAUUUAUUAAAUAAUUAAAACUUUCAACAACGGAUCUCUUGGUUCUG